AGUACCAGUGAUGAGUUGAAUACUGCCCCAGUCUGAUCACUGUGAGGAAAGGUAUUUUCUGAGUUGUG
This 68-nucleotide small nucleolar RNA is filed under the name Jaculus jaculus (lesser Egyptian jerboa). Lineage: Eukaryota; Metazoa; Chordata; Mammalia; Rodentia; Dipodidae. The record is from RNAcentral.